UCAACAUAAAUCCAGAAUAUUAGCUAUGAAUCCACUCACUAUCAUGUUCUAAUACGUUGUAUCAUAAAUCCUUUGGCGAGACUAAACUUUCAACAUAGACAUGACAUGACAAAGAAAAGAAACUCUCGAGGUUACAGAACACAUUAUCCCGACAACCAUAGACAAAAACAAUGGAUCCAAAAUUUACCAAAAUAUCUCCAUUUAGACCUUUCACCAAUGGUGGUUGAAGAAGCUCAAGAAGAUGAGAAAGAGUCACCACUUUCUCCCAAGACUCCUUCAUAACCCAAACUCGAUAACCUCUUUCAUAAUUAAUAAAACAUAGCACACAAAGGAAACCACCAAGCACACCCACAAAGCCGUACUUCUCUUGAUCAAAGGGAAGCUCAAUAUUUCCAAACACCUCACUCUUCAAGUCCAAGAAAAUAAUAACUUUAUCAUGUCCGUCCUUCCAGUAAAGCUUCCCACCUGCAAACACCCCCGUUCUCAAAUAUGGAAGGAAAUAUGGGCAGAGCUCAAUUGUUUUCCAUGAUUUUGUCCUUGUAUUAUAAAUUCACCAACGCUGAAGUUAUAAUCAACCACAUUCACAAACACCCUGUACCCGACCAAAUCCGUAAUUAUCAAAAGAGUCGAGAUUAGAAAAAAAUUCUGGCAGUUUCUUGGAGAUUAUUCUAGUGGAUGGGUUCCAUAAGUGAAAUAUAUUUUCAUCAUUGAGAAUGUAGAGCAGCCCAUUACAGCACCCCAAGAUUAGAAAUCACAUCAAUGUACUAGUAUUCAUUGGAUAAGCUAAAGGAGAUAAAGGGAUUGUAUUCCUUUAUCAUCAAAAAAGCUAUGAAACCACUCACAAUCAUGUUCUAAGACUUGUUUCAUAAAUCUUCUGGCCAGACUAAACUUUCAACAUAGACAUCAUGUGAACUUGAAUCGACACAAUCCCCGUGGCUGCUGAACCCAGUAUCCUCACAACAGGAACAAUACUUGAGGUUGCGGAACACAUUAUCCCGACAAUCAUAGACCACCACAAUGGAUCCACAAUUUACCAAAAUCUCUCCAUUUAGACCUUUCACCAAUGGUGGUUGAAGAAGCUCAAGAAGAUGAGAAAGAGUCACCACUUCCUCCCAAGACUCGUUCAUAACCCAAACUCGAUAGCCUCUAAUUUGAUAAUUAAAACAUAGCACACAAACGAAACCACCAAGCACACCCACGUCAAUGUCGUACUUCUCUGGAUCAAUCUCUCCAUACAUCUUCUCUUGAUCAGAGGGAAUUUCAAUCCUUCCAAACACCUCACUCUUCAAGUCCAAGAAAAUAAUAACUUCAUCAUCGUCGUACAUCCAGUAAAGCUUCCCACCUCCAAACAGCCCCUCCCUGCAAAAUGGAAUGAAAUAUGGGCAGAGCUCAAUUGUUUUCCAUGAUUUUGUCCUUGUACUAUAAAUUUCACCAACGCUGGAGUUCCAUUCAACCACAUUCACAAACACCUUGUACUCAUCACUCGAUUCAACCCAACCGAAUCCAAAAUUAUCAAAAUCGUCGAGAUCAUUAACAAUUGAAAUUUCUGGCAGUUUCUUGGAGAUUAUUCUAGUGGAUGGGUUCCACAAGUGAAAUAUAUUCUCAUCAUUGACAAUGCAGAGCAGCCCAUUACAGCUCCCCACAAUGUCAUAUCCCAUCGGCAAUGUAGUAUUCGUUGGAUAAGCUAAACGAGAAAAUAAUGUAGUAUUCGUUGGAUAAGCUAAAGGAGAAAAAGGGAUAGUAUUUAUUGGUCCGCUCAAAACCGACAGCAGAGAACAUUGCUUAGGCCAUUCAAGCAAAUUCGUCUCUACAAUGAACCUUUGUUGGGUGAAAGAUGGGUUUUUCAUCGAAUUUUGGUGGUGUUUUUUUAUGAAUCUUUCGGUGCCAAUUAAAGAGCCCCAUGAUUUGGAAACGCACCUGAAUCUCAACAGUGAUUUCACCGGCAGUCUUGGCAGUAUUUCUCCAAUGAUUUCUUCCGGAAGAUGGAGAGAUUGGCUUUCGAUCUCCAUACCCAAUGCUGCGAUAUAUGUUUCUGAGGGCUAAGAAGAAAAAAAGAGGAAAGGGUCAAGAUGAGCAGCAUCUUUUUGUGGCAUUCUACCAAUUACUAAUAUUAAUUGAGGACAAUGUAUUAGAGCGGAAAGAGAGAGAAAAGAAGAGAGAUCAAAGAAGUUAUGAAAAUGAAAGCAUAAAUAGGAAAUAAAAGAAAUAAGAGAGAGA
This 2217-nucleotide long non-coding RNA is filed under the name Salvia miltiorrhiza (redroot sage). RNAcentral's name for it is "long non-coding RNA (SMIL_LNC006819)". Lineage: Eukaryota; Viridiplantae; Streptophyta; Magnoliopsida; Lamiales; Lamiaceae. The record is from RNAcentral.